Molecule: ribosomal RNA, 802 nt
Filed under: Brachybacterium sp. 3Y42
Lineage: Bacteria; Bacillati; Actinomycetota; Actinomycetes; Micrococcales; Dermabacteraceae
Description: bacterial SSU rRNA
Rfam family: Bacterial small subunit ribosomal RNA
Source: RNAcentral
UCUUACCAUGCAGUCCACGAUGACGGUGGUGCUUGCACCGCCUGAUUAGUGGCGAACGGGUGAGUAACACGUGAGUAACCUGCCCUCCACUUCGGGAUAACCUCGGGAAAUCGUGGCUAAUACCGGAUAUGAGCACUCAUCGCAUGGUGGGUGUUGGAAAGAUUUAUCGGUGGGGGAUGGACUCGCGGCCUAUCAGUUUGUUGGUGAGGUGAUGGCUCACCAAGACGAUGACGGGUAGCCGGCCUGAGAGGGCGACCGGCCACACUGGGACUGAGACACGGCCCAGACUCCUACGGGAGGCAGCAGUGGGGAAUAUUGCACAAUGGGCGAAAGCCUGAUGCAGCGACGCCGCGUGGGGGAUGACGGCCUUCGGGUUGUAAACCCCUUUCAGUAGGGAAGAAGCGAGAGUGACGGUACCUGCAGAAGAAGCGCCGGCUAACUACGUGCCAGCAGCCGCGGUAAUACGUAGGGCGCAAGCGUUGUCCGGAAUUAUUGGGCGUAAAGAGCUUGUAGGUGGCUUGUCGCGUCUGCCGUGAAAACCCGAGGCUCAACCUCGGGCGUGCGGUGGGUACGGGCAGGCUAGAGUGUGGUAGGGGAGACUGGAACUCCUGGUGUAGCGGUGAAAUGCGCAGAUAUCAGGAAGAACACCGAUGGCGAAGGCAGGUCUCUGGGCCAUUACUGACACUGAGAAGCGAAAGCAUGGGUAGCGAACAGGAUUAGAUACCCUGGUAGUCCAUGCCGUAAACGUUGGGCACUAGGUGUGGGGGACAUUCCACGUUUUCCGCGCCGUAGCUAACGCAUU